RNAcentral lists this ribosomal RNA (321 nucleotides) under Triticum aestivum (bread wheat). RNAcentral describes it as "partial small subunit ribosomal RNA". Lineage: Eukaryota; Viridiplantae; Streptophyta; Magnoliopsida; Poales; Poaceae. The record is from RNAcentral.
AUGCUCCGAUCUGAACGGGGCGGCCGGACUGCCUGCGUGGCGGUGGACGACGUCGCCCAGGCCAACAACAUCAUCCAGCGCCUCAACGACUUCCCCUCCAUGGCGCACAUCUCCGGGAUGGGCCUCAAGGUCGUGCCGAUGAUCGCGGCCUUCUCCAACCUCUGCGCAGUCAACCUCUCCGGCACCGAUGAUGAAAUCAUUUCUGCUAUCGCUGCAUUACUACAUCCUCCGCCUGCUCAUAUCAUGCUGUGUAGGAUGUUUGCCUUUCUUCAUUCCGUGUCUGUGACCUCUAGCCAUUUGUCAGACAUGUUUUUUUCUUAG